This 253-nucleotide ribosomal RNA is filed under the name uncultured bacterium. RNAcentral's name for it is "partial 16S ribosomal RNA". It matches the Rfam family "Bacterial small subunit ribosomal RNA", at positions 524 to 776 of the family's 1533-position model. The record is from RNAcentral.
UACGAAGGGGGCGAGCGUUAUCCGGAUUUACUGGGUUUAAAGGGUGCGCAGGCGGAUAUGUAAGUCAGUGGUGAAAUCUCCGGGCUUAACCCGGAAACUGCCGUUGAUACUAUAUAUCUUGAAUGCUGUGGAGGUAAGCAGAAUAUGUCAUGUAGCGGUGAAAUGCUUAGAUAUGACAUAGAAUACCGAUUGCGAAGGCAGCUUACUACACAGAUAUUGACGCUCAGGCACGAAAGCGUGGGGAGCAAAAGGG